GACGAACGCUGGCGGCGUGCUUAACACAUGCAAGUCGUACGGUAAGGCCCUUUCGGGGGUCCACGAGUGGCUAACGGGUGAGUAACACGUGAGUAACCUGCCCACAACUUUGGGAUAACGCUAGGAAACUGGUGCUAAUACUGGAUAUGUGCUCCUGCUGCAUGGUGGGGGUUGGAAAGCUCCGGCGGUUGUGGAUGGACUCGCGGCCUAUCAGCUUGUUGGUGGGGUAGUGGCCUACCAAGGCGGCGACGGGUAGCCGGCCUGAGGGGGUGACCGGCCACAAUGGGACUGAGAGACGGCCCAGAAGCCUACGGGAGGCAACAGUGGGGAAUAUUGCACAAUGGGGGCAAGCCUGAUGCAACAACGCCGCGUGCGGGAUGACGGCCUUCGGGUUGUAAACCGCUUUCAGCAGGGACGAAGCUUUUUGUGGCGGUACCUGCAGAAGAAGCACCGGCUAACUACGUG
This 465-nucleotide ribosomal RNA is filed under the name uncultured bacterium. Its description in RNAcentral is "partial 16S ribosomal RNA". It matches the Rfam family "Bacterial small subunit ribosomal RNA", at positions 28 to 507 of the family's 1533-position model. The record is from RNAcentral.